RNAcentral lists this small nuclear RNA (24 nucleotides) under Arabidopsis thaliana (thale cress). RNAcentral describes it as "snRNA_16819". Lineage: Eukaryota; Viridiplantae; Streptophyta; Magnoliopsida; Brassicales; Brassicaceae. The record is from RNAcentral.
GUUGUAUCACGUUAAUGGUUUUGA